GAUGAACGCUGGCGGCGUGCCUAAUACAUGCAAGUCGAGCGAACAGACGAGGAGCUUGCUCCUCUGACGUUAGCGGCGGACGGGUGAGUAACACGUGGAUAACCUACCUAUAAGACUGGGAUAACUUCGGGAAACCGGAGCUAAUACCGGAUAAUAUAUUGAACCGCAUGGUUCAAUAGUGAAAGACGGUUUUGCUGUCACUUAUAGAUGGAUCCGCGCCGCAUUAGCUAGUUGGUAAGGUAACGGCUUACCAAGGCGACGAUGCGUAGCCGACCUGAGAGGGUGAUCGGCCACACUGGAACUGAGACACGGUCCAGACUCCUACGGGAGGCAGCAGUAGGGAAUCUUCCGCAAUGGGCGAAGGCCUGACGGAGCAACGCCGCGUGAGUGAUGAAGGUCUUCGGAUCGUAAAACUCUGUUAUUAGGGAAGAACAAAUGUGUAAGUAACUAUGCACGUCUUGACGGUACCUAAUCAGAAAGCCACGGCUAACUACGU
RNAcentral lists this ribosomal RNA (496 nucleotides) under uncultured bacterium. RNAcentral's name for it is "partial 16S ribosomal RNA". It matches the Rfam family "Bacterial small subunit ribosomal RNA", at positions 28 to 506 of the family's 1533-position model. The record is from RNAcentral.